Molecule: non-coding RNA, 87 nt
Organism: Decorospora gaudefroyi
Lineage: Eukaryota; Fungi; Ascomycota; Dothideomycetes; Pleosporales; Pleosporaceae
Source: the annotation of a GenBank genome assembly
UCCUCCGUGGCGCAAUUGGCUAGCGCGUUCGACUGUUAGAAAUGAUAGUCUAUCGAGAGGUUGGAAGUUCGAGCCUUCCCGGGGGAG